This is a long non-coding RNA of Tympanuchus pallidicinctus (lesser prairie-chicken), 263 nucleotides long. RefSeq lists it as uncharacterized. Lineage: Eukaryota; Metazoa; Chordata; Aves; Galliformes; Phasianidae. The transcript has 3 exons. The record is from RefSeq and is a predicted model, not a curated record.
CUGGGCUGAGGGCAGAAGGAUGGGGCUGAGGGCAGAAGGAUGGGGCUGAGGGCAGAAGGAUGGGGUCAGAACUGGGCUGAGAGCAGAGGGAUGGGGCUGAGGGCAGAAGGAUGGGGCUGAGGGCAGAAGGAUGGGGUCAGGACUGUGCUGAGGGCAGAAGGAUGGAGCCUUGGGCAGAAGGAUGGGGCUGAGGGCAUAAGGAUGGGGUCAGGACUGUGCUGAGGGCAGAAGGAUGGGGCUGAGGGCAGAGGGAUGGGGCUGAG